GACUACAUAUUAAAUGGAUUUUUCGAACAGGGAGUCGGAAAUGGGGCUUGCUCCGUCCGCUCCACGCAUCGACCCGGUAUUGCAGUACCUCCGGGAACGGUGCAACACUU
Molecule: small nuclear RNA, 110 nt
Organism: Oncorhynchus tshawytscha (Chinook salmon)
Lineage: Eukaryota; Metazoa; Chordata; Actinopteri; Salmoniformes; Salmonidae
Gene: U2
Rfam family: U2 spliceosomal RNA
About the family: U2 is a small nuclear RNA (snRNA) component of the spliceosome (involved in pre-mRNA splicing). Complementary binding between U2 snRNA (in an area lying towards the 5' end but 3' to hairpin I) and the branchpoint sequence (BPS) of the intron results the bulging out of an unpaired adenosine, on the BPS, which initiates a nucleophilic attack at the intronic 5' splice site, thus starting the first of two transesterification reactions that mediate splicing.
Source: Ensembl